This is a long non-coding RNA of Cavia porcellus (domestic guinea pig), 953 nucleotides long. RefSeq lists it as uncharacterized. Lineage: Eukaryota; Metazoa; Chordata; Mammalia; Rodentia; Caviidae. The transcript is spliced from 3 exons. The record is from RefSeq and is a predicted model, not a curated record.
UGACCUGGCUUGCCACGGGGCCUGUCUGGAAGCUUGCACAGUUGUGUCCCCUGGUGGUUUGACUUCCAGAUAAACUGAGAAGCUGCGUCUCCAUGGGAACAGCAGGAGAGAACAAAAUGGGGAAUCAAGGCCUAGAGGCAACAGGACCAGUCGACGAUGGACUGAAAUUUGAAAUCAAGAGCCAACAGAAAUCAUGGAGAUGCAGAAGUGGCACUGGCCAGGGGAGAACUAAGAAGCCACCCCCACCCCAGGAGCCAGCUGGCACAGACCAGGAGAGGAAGAGCUGUUCCCCGCCCCUAGUCCUGGGGCAGCAACUGCUGAUUCAGAGGACGGGCUGAGAUGACGGCAACUGAAGUAAGGAAACAAGUUCAUGCUUGUGUUGUUUGAUUGACUCUGCAGACCUAAAGCUGGUAGUCUGAGCAGCUAUUUAGAGGAUAAGAAAAGGCGUUAUGGUAGCUAUUGUUAAUUCCCUAUCAUCUUGCUUUGAAGUCCUGUAUCAUUUUCAUUGUUUUGUUUUGUUUGAUUUUAUUCCAUUUUGUUUUGAUUGAUUUUAUCAUGUCUGAGGGUAUGGAUAGCUAUCUUGAAAAUAACAAGAGGCAUUAGGGUAGCCAUUGAUGAUUUCCUGUUAUCUUGUUUUGAAGUUCUGUAUCACUUUCAUUGUCUUGUUUUGAUUGACUUUAUUCUGUUGUACUUUGUCUUGUUUUAGUCUCUUUCAAGUAAAAAUAAAAUGAAAUAAGUUUAAAUUUAUAGUAAAAUUUCAUAAAUAAUGCAAAUAACUAUCUCCUUCAUCUAGAUUGUUGGUUGUUAACUUUUUACUACAUUUGCUCCAACAUUGGGUUUCUGCAACAAACUGCAACAUAAGCUGCAACAAAAUAACUGAGAUAAUACAUUUUAAAAGAGAGAGAGGAAAAAAAAAGAGGGGCUGGGGAGUUAGCUCAGUGGCAUAAAUGCCU